UCCGAAAUAGAUUUUCUUACCUAAGCAAUUUAGAGAUUAUCGAAUUUCAAAUUAAAAACCAAAAGCCAGUACACCGGUGUGAAUCAGAAAGACACUACCACGGUCCAAUAGAUAUAUAGUUAAUGUAUAAAUAAGAUUAUCAGUCUGUGUGUGUUUUUCUGUAUGUAAAGUCGGGAACCGAGACCGGGAUAUUUCUGUGGUUGAGUGAACACUAUCAGUCUCACCCGACAUUAAAUUCAGCAGAAAAUUUGAAGGCGAGACCAGAACAUUGACAAUUUCGAGUCCUGAGUCUAACCGAUCAUUUCCAAGAUGAAGUCGAGUUAUGUUGUUAUAAGCAUGGGCUGCUGUGCCCUAAUUUCGUUGAAUUUGUUCAUUAUUUCACUGCUUGCUCCUGGAUGGCUUGUCUACAGUAAUUUUAACGACAUUGACCUAGAAUUACACAUGGGUUUAUUUUACUUUAAUGAAUGCACUAACAUGAGGAGGUACUGUGCAUCACAUUUCUAUGGUGAUUUUCCAGAAGUCGUAAAUACCAAAGGAAGGUUUACGACAACAGGUGCAUUAACCAGUGUUUUCGGCACCGACAAGGUAUAUGAGGAAUACUUAGCAGAAAUGUUAGUUGCAAUUAUUAUCAUGAUGUUCGCAGUUUGCGCAGUGUUUUUCUACUCGAGAACAAGCAACCCAGCUUAUAUGACGCUGCCUGUAAUACUUCUUUUAAUCCCAGGUAUUUUGGUGUGGAUUGCCACAGGUCGCUGGAUUCAGCUUGAGUACUUCGUCAUGGGUGAUAUGGGUAUACCUUAUAGCCUUAUUCUCAAUGGGAUUGGUGCUACACUGUGUUUCAUCAUCAUCAUCAUUCUCCUGGUUGUCAUGUGCUUUGAUUGGCAAAGAUACAACGGAAACGACAGGCGCGUGUUGGUUAGCAGGAAACAAGAUUCAAUUGCAAACCCACAGUACGUUUACAACCAGCCAACAACUCAACCACAACUUGUGUACUAUUGAUCAUUUAGAAUUUUAAACAAAUAACAGUAGUUAAAACUUUACCAUGGAAAAGAACAAUCAGCAAUACUUGAAUACUAUAGCAUACGGGCAUUUCUAUAUAUGCAACUUCGUUUCAUAAAUGAAUAUGCAAGUGUUACAUGCUACACACGAAUGGGGUGAUGAUUUAGGUUUUUCAUAUGAUAUGAAAUCAUAUAUAAAUGGCGAAAACUACUUUUCCAUACCAUCAAGUCAGGUUGAGUUUAAAAUUUACAAAUGCAUUUUACAUAACAUGCAGUUGUUUUUAGAGGAAAAAUUCCUUUCUCGCAUUCAGAUAUUAAGUGAAAUAGAAAAUAGAGAAUACUGGGGUGCUAAAAUAUAUAGAUUAGAGAAUAUUGGACAAAAAAUAAAGAUUAGAUAAUCAAGACCCUCAGAUCACAUCGAAUCCAAAUUAUUCUAGUAUUAAAAACUAAAAGAUAAAAUUACAUAAGAGAUUGUCACCACAUAUAUUCAUACAUCAUUUUGAUAAUAUACUUUGUUUGAAUUAGUUUAACUGUCAUUUGUAUGCUUACAUAUCUCAAAUCUGUAGAAUUCGUGAAAAUCUCAAAUCUGUAGAAUUCGUGAAAAUCUCAAAUCUGUAGAAUUCGUGAAAAUCUCAAAUCUGUAGAAUUCGUGAAAUAGAAAAUCUAUUUCUUUUUAUCUGAAACUAUAUUCUGUUAACUAUUUAACUUCUCCAAGUAAAUUUGGAAAUCGCGAAAUUAAAUCACCGCAAAGUGGACUAGAAAGGGCUGAACGCGAAAUAAAGUAUCAACAAAAAUUAGUUGGUUUACAGUAUUCAUCCGGAUACAAAAGGCUCAUCCUACCAUUACUUUACCACUUUAGAACGUUAAGUAUGUUGUCAUUAAAAAUGAAUCAUAUAGUUUCGAAGGUAACUUCUUUAUUUCAGAAAUUUACUUAUUAUAUAUUUAUAUUGUAUUUUUAUAUCUUUAAACAUUUGCUUUUUUUAUUUAUCGUAUAUGAUAUAUUUACAUCUGAGCAAUAAAAAUACAAUUUUUAAACUUUA
Molecule: long non-coding RNA, 2035 nt
Organism: Mytilus californianus (California mussel)
Lineage: Eukaryota; Metazoa; Mollusca; Bivalvia; Mytilida; Mytilidae
Exons: 5
Source: RefSeq, a predicted model, not a curated record